GAUUAUGGCUCAGGAUGAACGCUAGCUACAGGCUUAACACAUGCAAGUCGAGGGGCAGCAUGAUCAAAGCUUGCUUGAUUGAUGGCGACCGGCGCACGGGUGAGUAACGCGUAUCCAACCUUCCCUAUAGUAGUGGAUAGCCCGGCGAAAGUCGGAUUAAUACACUAUGUUGUAUUUAGAGGACAUCUGAAGAAUACCAAAGGCUUGCCGCUAUAGGAUGGGGAUGCGUCUGAUUAGAUAGUAGGCGGGGUAACGGCCCACCUAGUCGACGAUCAGUAGGGGUUCUGAGAGGAAGGUCCCCCACAUUGGAACUGAGACACGGUCCAAACUCCUACGGGAGGCAGCAGUGAGGAAUAUUGGUCAAUGGGCGAGAGCCUGAACCAGCCAAGUAGCCGUGCAGGAUGACGGCCCUAUGGGUUGUAAACUGCUUUUAUCGGGGGAUAAAGUCACCCACGUGUGGGUGUUUGUAGGUACCCGAUGAAUAAGGACCGGCUAAUUCCGUGCCAGCAGCUGC
RNAcentral lists this ribosomal RNA (514 nucleotides) under uncultured bacterium. RNAcentral's name for it is "bacterial SSU rRNA". It matches the Rfam family "Bacterial small subunit ribosomal RNA", at positions 15 to 518 of the family's 1533-position model. The record is from RNAcentral.